UCUUUGAUGGUCUAACGGUCAUGAUUUCCGCUUGUCAAGACGACAAGUCGCGGGAGAUCGGGGUUCGACUCCCCGUCAGAGAG
Molecule: transfer RNA, 83 nt
Filed under: Cadophora sp. DSE1049
Lineage: Eukaryota; Fungi; Ascomycota; Leotiomycetes; Helotiales; Ploettnerulaceae
Description: tRNA-Asp
Rfam family: tRNA
About the family: Transfer RNA (tRNA) molecules are approximately 80 nucleotides in length. Their secondary structure includes four short double-helical elements and three loops (D, anti-codon, and T loops).
Source: RNAcentral